GAGCACAGUCAUAUGAAGCAGUUGGAAACAUGUACAUUCAUUUUGUCUGCUAUUUGGAAGUUGUACUAUUGGGUCAAACUGGGCUCCUUAAGCUUGGUAUAAAUUUCUUUUUCUUGCUUAUUGUAAUGAAGCUUAAGCACAGUUCUCAGUAUACUGCUACAUUGUUGAAAUGCUUAAGGGAAUUGGCUUCGAAUCCCAUACUCUACUUCCUCCUGGCAUGCCUCAGUUGUUCAGAAGCACAUUGUUUCUCUGAUUACUUAAGUAAUGUCCAGAAAGAGCAACCAUGUAUCUGAUUACUACAUAGUCUGUUUGCUUAAGGAGCCGUACACCAUAAGAUUCCUGGAUCUGGUCUAAAUCAAUUUGCCCCCCCCACCCCGCGCCCUAAAAAAACCUGCUCUGAAACUUUUGGCAUACUCAGUUCAUAAAUAACAGAACUGUUAAAACAAUACACUAAUCUCUGAUUGACCUCUG
RNAcentral lists this long non-coding RNA (471 nucleotides) under Rattus norvegicus (Norway rat). Its description in RNAcentral is "long non-coding RNA NONRATT011503". The record is from RNAcentral. Lineage: Eukaryota; Metazoa; Chordata; Mammalia; Rodentia; Muridae.